UGGAUACGUCACCAAAUUUGUCAUUUUUUGCGUGAAUUAGAUUUAAACUUAUUCACAUGAACUACAAUUCCUACAAUCCCACGGAUCAAUUCAAAAUUUAGUCUUGUAUGCACGACUAAUAGAGGAAAUAUAGUAUUUCAAAUAGUUACUAAUUUUUAUUUCUUCCAGCAGUUAGAAAUUUUUCAGUCAUUAUUUC
Caenorhabditis elegans is the source of this 196-nucleotide non-coding RNA. The record is from Ensembl. NCBI's taxonomy places the organism in Eukaryota, Metazoa, Nematoda, Chromadorea, Rhabditida, Rhabditidae.